This 1233-nucleotide long non-coding RNA is filed under the name Zonotrichia albicollis (white-throated sparrow). Its description in RNAcentral is "lncRNA (ENSZALG00000001965.1)". The record is from RNAcentral. Lineage: Eukaryota; Metazoa; Chordata; Aves; Passeriformes; Passerellidae.
CACUGUGUCACUGUCACUGUCACUGUGUCACUGUCACUGUGUCACUGUGUCACUGUCACUGUGUCACUGUCACUGUCACUGUGUCACUGUCACUGUCACUGUGUCACUGUGUCACUGUCACUGUCACUGUCACUGUGUCACUGUGUCACUGUGUCACUGUGUCACUGUCACUGUGUCACUGUCACUGUGUCACUGUGUCACCGUCACUGUGUCACUGUCACUGUGUCACUGUGUCACUGUCACUGUGUCACUGUCACUGUCACUGUGUCACUGUCACUGUGUCACCAUCGCUGUCACCGUCACUGUCACUGUGUCACUGUCACUGUGUCACUGUCACUGUGUCACUGUGUCACUGUCACUGUGUCACUGUGUCACUGUCACCAUCAAUGUCACUGUCACUGUGUCACUGUCACUGUGUCACUGUCACUGUGUCACUGUCACUGUGUCACUGUGUCACUGUCACCAUCAAUGUCACUGUCACUGUGUCACUGUCACUGUGUCACCAUCGCUGUCACCGUCACUGUGUCACUGUCACUGUCACUGUCACUGUGUCACUGUCACUGUCACUGUGUCACCGUCACUGUCACUGCCACCGUCACCAACACCGUCACCGUGUCACUGUCACUGUGUCACCGUCACUGUCACUGUCACCAUCAAUGUCACUGUCACCGUCACUGUCACUGUGUCACUGUGUCACUGUCACUGUGUCACUGUCACUGUCACUGUGUCACCGUCACCGUCACUGUAUCACUGUCACCAUCACUGUCACUGUCACUGUCACUGUGUCACCGUCACUGUCACCAUCACCGUCAAUGUCACCGACACCGUCACUGUCACCGUGUCCUCCAGAGCCUUGGGCUGCCCUGGACACCUCCGAGAGUCCUCCAAGAUCCCUGGGUGUCCCUCAGGUGUCCCCCAGGUGUUACCCAAGACCUUCAGGUGUCACCCAAGACCCUCAGGUGUCACCCAAGACCCUCAGGUGUCCCCAAGGACCUUCAGGGGUCACCCAAGAUCUUCAGGUGUCACCUAAAACCCUCAGGUGUCCCCCAGGUGUGCCCCAGCACCCUCAGGUGUCACCCAAGACCGUCAGGUGUCACCCAAGACCCUCAGGUGUCACCCAAGAUCUUCAGGUGUCCCCAGGAACCUUCAGGUGUCCCCCAGCCAUGUCCCCAAGGCAGGUCUGGUGGCCCAGGGACAGUUUGGUGUCCGUCCCCAAGGUGGGUCUGGUGUCCC